Molecule: ribosomal RNA, 112 nt
Filed under: Cebus imitator (Panamanian white-faced capuchin)
Lineage: Eukaryota; Metazoa; Chordata; Mammalia; Primates; Cebidae
Source: RNAcentral
GCCCUCUGCCGGCUUCUACAGCCAUACCAUUCUGAUCUUGGAAGUUAAGCAGGGUCGGGCCCAGCCAGGACCUGGAUGGGAGCCCGCAUGAAAAUACUGGGGAUGGUGAGCU